GAUGAACGCUGGCGGCGUGCCUAAUACAUGCAAGUCGAGCGAACAGACGCGGCGCUUGCUCCUCUGACGUUAGCGGCGGACGGGUGAGUAACACGUGGAUAACCUACCUAUAAGACUGGGAUAACUUCGGGACACCGGCGCUAAUACCGGAUAAUAUAUUGAACCGCAUGGUUCGAUAGUGAAAGACGGUUUUGCUGUCACUUAUAGAUGGAUCCGCGCCGCAUUAGCUAGUUGGUAAGGUAACGGCUUACCAAGGCAACGAUGCGUAGCCGACCUGAGAGGGGGAUCGGCCACACUGGAACUGAGACGCGAUCCAGACUCCGACGGGAGGCAGCAGUAGGGAAUCGUCCGCAAUGGGCGAAAGCCUGACGGAGCAACGCCGCGUGAGUGAUGAAGGUCUUCGGAUCGUAAAACUCUGUUAUGAGGGAAGAACAAAUGUGUAAGUAACUAUGCACGUCUUGACGGUACCUAAUCAGAAAGCCACGGCGAACUACGU
Molecule: ribosomal RNA, 496 nt
Filed under: uncultured bacterium
Lineage: Bacteria
Description: partial 16S ribosomal RNA
Rfam family: Bacterial small subunit ribosomal RNA
Source: RNAcentral